This is a long non-coding RNA of Vigna angularis (adzuki bean), 582 nucleotides long. RefSeq lists it as uncharacterized. NCBI's taxonomy places the organism in Eukaryota, Viridiplantae, Streptophyta, Magnoliopsida, Fabales, Fabaceae. The transcript is spliced from 4 exons. The record is from RefSeq and is a predicted model, not a curated record.
AAAUGUUUCUUUUUUAAAUGGGAGGGAAGGGACGGCCCUGUUCCUUGAGUUGGAUAUGGCUGAUGGUGAUUGAACAAACACCUUUGGGAGACAACAAUGACUCUGUUGAUUAGCCUUGUUCUCUUCUCAUUGCAAUUUGAAGCCCAACCAAUUUUCUCAGUCAAUGCCGACAAGCGACUUCUUCAUCUUUGUUCGUGAUGGUGAUAACAAAGAUUGGUGUAAUGGUACUGAUGCCCUUAUGCUAUAGUUGCAGUAAUAGCAUUCAUCUUUACUCCCUCAUGGUUGGAAAUUAACCAAGGAAAUCAUAAAUUGUAUCUUCAUAUUCGGUCUCCUCAUUUUUAAGCCAGCAGAGUUAGGUUAUUCUUAAUGGAUCACGUCGAGUUGCUAUCUGUGUAUACUAAGAUCAACUAACUAACUGGGUGCAGAAACCAGCACCUCAAAUGGCUUAUCUGGAACUGCUGGCAUGCUAAAAUUGGAUGGUGGAUUAUAAUUAAUAAGCCCAUGUACAAUUGAUGAAUGGUAGUAUGUGACGAGAAAGUAUGUUAUAAUUAGGUAAAGACAAUAAAGAAAAAUUUCUCUUUA